Molecule: ribosomal RNA, 591 nt
Filed under: Cryobacterium sp. CPCC203957
Lineage: Bacteria; Bacillati; Actinomycetota; Actinomycetes; Micrococcales; Microbacteriaceae
Description: bacterial SSU rRNA
Rfam family: Bacterial small subunit ribosomal RNA
Source: RNAcentral
GUGGCGAACGGGUGAGUAACACGUGAGCAAUCUGCCCUUGACUCUGGGAUAACUGCGGGAAACUGUAGCUAAUACCGGAUACGACCUUGGAAGGCAUCUUCUGGGGUGGAAAGAAUUUUGGUCAAGGAUGAGCUCGCGGCCUAUCAGCUAGUUGGUGAGGUAAUGGCUCACCAAGGCGACGACGGGUAGCCGGCCUGAGAGGGUGAUCGGCCACACUGGGACUGAGACACGGCCCAGACUCCUACGGGAGGCAGCAGUGGGGAAUAUUGCACAAUGGGCGCAAGCCUGAUGCAGCAACGCCGCGUGAGGGACGAAGGCCUUCGGGUUGUAAACCUCUUUUAGUAGGGAAGAAGUGACUGGGUUUUCCUGGAAGUGACGGUACCUGCAGAAAAAGCACCGGCUAACUACGUGCCAGCAGCCGCGGUAAUACGUAGGGUGCAAGCGUUGUCCGGAAUUAUUGGGCGUAAAGAGCUCGUAGGCGGUUUGUUGCGUCUGCUGUGAAAACCCGAGGCUCAACCUCGGGCCUGCAGUGGGUACGGGCAGACUAGAGUGCGGUAGGGGAGAUUGGAAUUCCUGGUGUAGCGGUGGAAU